RNAcentral lists this unclassified non-coding RNA (758 nucleotides) under Hevea brasiliensis (rubber tree). Lineage: Eukaryota; Viridiplantae; Streptophyta; Magnoliopsida; Malpighiales; Euphorbiaceae. The record is from RNAcentral.
CUCUGGAUUCCUCGACGAAGAUUCGGCGGAGAAUUCCAAUCACUGGGAAGGUCAACUUCAGCGCAAUCUCCGGCGAGAAGAACAGUUUUUUUCUUGUGGUUUUGAAACGAUCAAGACGCGAGAGGAGGCGAAAGGUCGCCCACGACAACGAAGACGAAUAUUACCUCUCGUCGGCGACGAAGACGAAAACAAAGACGAGUCAAUCAAAGAAGAAUCCACCGGAGAAUGUGAUGCUGUUGAGACGAAACACCGGCAUCGAAAAGGAAUUGCUCUCCGGCUUCAUCUCGCCGGUGAUGGAUCGAUACGAAUACGAAGAGCGAAUUCGGAAGCUGCAGUCGGAGAAGGAGAAGUACUUAAUGAGCAUACGGCUAAACAAUCUGACGAUGGGAGGAGGCGGAGAUGGCGGCCGGAACGGUUCUGCGAGAUCGGAAACGACAGUCUGCCGUGAUUGCCUGAGUGCGAAAGAAACCGGGAUGGCGGCCGGAUUUCACUGCUGCGCCAACGACGCCGUGACGGCCGGAUUCCGAUCACACGCGGGUCCGAUAGCCCGACCCGUAAAAGAAUCCGAUUAAGGAUCCGGCCCGAAUUAGCUUGUUUUGGUCUUCAUGUUAUGUGCGCUGCGUGUGAAUAACAGAGUAGGUAGAAGAGAAGGAGAGGAAUGGUCAGGGGUUUAUUCCUGUGAAAGUCAAGUACACCGUAAGAAGAGUGUACCAAAGCCUUCCAUUGGCUAUGAUUUCAUCACUUGGACCUUCAGGAGG